RNAcentral lists this ribosomal RNA (255 nucleotides) under Triticum aestivum (bread wheat). Its description in RNAcentral is "partial small subunit ribosomal RNA". The record is from RNAcentral. Lineage: Eukaryota; Viridiplantae; Streptophyta; Magnoliopsida; Poales; Poaceae.
AUGAGUAAGAGUUUGAGCCCGCAUUACCAAGGCCUAGUAACAUAUGAGAAGGAGUACUUGGCUAUCUUAGUGGCAAUCGACCAGUGGUGACCAUACUUACUGCAUAAUGAAUUUGUCAUCUUUACGGAUCAAAAAAGUCUCCUACAUCUCGAAGAGCAGCGCCUGACAACACCUUGGCAGCAGAGGGCUUUCACCAAGAUGUUGGGCCUUCGGUACACAAUUAAAUAUAUAAGGCUCAGACAACACAGCUACUGA